This 492-nucleotide ribosomal RNA is filed under the name uncultured bacterium. RNAcentral describes it as "partial 16S ribosomal RNA". It matches the Rfam family "Bacterial small subunit ribosomal RNA", at positions 29 to 507 of the family's 1533-position model. The record is from RNAcentral.
AGUGAACGCUGGCGGUAGGCCUAACACAUGCAAGUCGAACGGCAGCACAGUAAGAGCUUGCUCUUACGGGUGGCGAGUGGCGGACGGGUGAGGAAUACAUCGGAAUCUACUUUUUCGUGGGGGAUAACGUAGGGAAACUUACGCUAAUACCGCAUACGACCUACGGGUGAAAGCAGGGGAUCUUCGGACCUUGCGCGAUUGAAUGAGCCGAUGUCGGAUUAGCUAGUUGGCGGGGUAAAGGCCCACCAAGGCGACGAUCCGUAGCUGGUCUGAGAGGAUGAUCAGCCAGACGGGAACUGAGACACGGUCCAGACUCCUACGGGAGGCAGCAGUGGGGAAUAUUGGACAAAGGGCGCAAGCCUGAUCCAGCCAUACCGCGAGGGUGAAGAAGGCCUUCGGGUUGGAAAGCCCUUUUGUUGGGAAAGAAGAGCAGCAGGUUAAAACCCCGCUGUUCUGACGGUACCCAAAGAAUAAGCACCGGCUAACUUCGUG